Molecule: long non-coding RNA, 4833 nt
Organism: Lagenorhynchus albirostris (white-beaked dolphin)
Lineage: Eukaryota; Metazoa; Chordata; Mammalia; Artiodactyla; Delphinidae
Exons: 3
Source: RefSeq, a predicted model, not a curated record
UUUUGAUGAUGGCCACUCUGACUGGUGUGAGGUGAUACCUCAUACUUCUUUUUUUUAAUUAGUUAAUUUUUGGCUGCAUUGGUUCUUUGUUGCUGCAUGUGGGCUUUCUCUAGGUUCAGUGAGUGCGGGCUACUCUUCAUUGUGGUGUGCAGGCUUCUCAUUGCAGUGGCUUCUCUUGUUGUGGAGCUUGGGCUCUAGGCACGUGGGCUACAGUAGUUGUGGCAUGCGGGCUCAGUAGUUGUGGCUCACAGACUCUAGAAUGCAGGCUCAGUAGUUGUGGCACAUGGGCUUAGUUGCUGCAUGGCAUGUGGGAUCUUCCCUGACCAGUGAUUAAGCCCAUGUCCCCUGCAUUGGCAGGUAGAUUCCCAGCCACUGCUCCACCAGGGAAGUCCCGAUUUCUUUACUUCUAAUUUUGGGUUUUAUUUGUUUUUCUUUCUCUAGUUCCUUUAGGUAUAAUUUUAUGUUGUUUGAUAUUUUUCUUGUUUCCUGAGGUAAGCUUGUGUCACUAUAAACUUCUCUCUUAAAACUGCUUUUGUUGCAUCCCAUAGGUUUUGGACUGUUGUGUUUUCAUUUUCAUUUUUCUGUAGGUAGUUUUUUAAAUUUCCAUUUUGAUUUCUUCAGUGAUCCAUUGGUUGUUUAGUCCAUAUAGUUUUGCCUUCACAUGUUUGUGCUUUUUGCAGUUUUUUUCUUGUAGUUGAUGUCUAGUCUCAUAGCAUUGUGGUCGGAAAAGACGCUUGAUAUGAUUCCAAUUUUCUUAAAUUUACUGAGGCUUGUUUUGUGGCCUAUCAUGUGAUCUAUCCUGGAGAAUGUUCCAUGCACACUUGAAAAGAAUGUGUAUUCUGCUGCUUUCGGAUGGAAUGCUUUAUAUAUAUAUCAAUUAAGUACAACUUGUCUAAUAUGUCAUUUAAGCCCAGUAUUGUUUAUUUUUUGUCUGGAUUAUCUAUCCAUUUAUGUAAGGGGGUUGUUAAAGUCCCCCACUUUUAUUGUGUUACUGUCAAUAAGAAAAAUGAACACAAGCAUACUACUAAAGGAAAUCAUCAAACGAAAUGGAGAGAAACUAAAAGAAGAAGAAAAGAACAGGGAAAACUGACAAAAAUAAUCAGAAAACAGGUAUAAGUACAUACCUAUCAAUAAUUACUUUAAAUGUUAGUGGACUAAAUGCUCCAAUCAAAAGAUACAGGGUGGCUGGAUAAAAAAAACAAGACCCAUCUAUAUGAUGCUUACAAGAGACUCACUUCAGAACUAAACACACAUGCAUACUGAAAAUGAAGGGAUGGAAAAAGAUAUUUUAUGCAGAUGGAAAUGAUAAGAAAGGGGUGUACCAAUAAUAUCAGGAAAAAUCUUUAAAGCAAAGUCUCAACAACAGACAAAGAAGGGCAUUAUAUUAUGAUAAAGGGAUGAAUACAAGAAGUGUAUAUUUUACUUUUUAACAUUUAUGGAUCCAAUGUAGGAGUACCUAAGUAUAUAAAGCAAAUACAGAUAUAAAGGGGAAAUUUGACAAUACAAUAAUGGCAGGGUACUUUAGCACCCCAAUUUCAUCAAAGGACAGAUCAUCAAGCUCUAAAGACUUUACCAAAAAACUAUUAUAAAUAAGAGAUGGAUUCAGUAAAGUUGCAGAACAGAAAAUUAAUACACAGAAAUCUGUUAAAUUUCUAUACAGUAAUAAUGAGCUGUCAGAAAGAGAAGUGAAGAAAACUAUCCCAUUUACAGUUGUAUCAAAAAGAAUAAUACACCCAGGAACAAAUUUAACGAGGUGAAAUACCUGGACUCUGAAGAGUAGAAGAUAUUGUUGAAGAAGACACAAAUAAAUGGAAAGAUAUUUCCUGCUCAUUGAUUGGAAGAAUUCACAUUGUUUAAAUGUCCAUAUUAUUUAAAAGAAUCUAUGCAUUCAGUGCAAUUCCUGUCUGAAUCUUAAGGACAUUUUUCAUAGAAAUAGAACAAAAAAAUUCUAAAAUUUAUGUGGAACCACAAAAUACCCCAAAUAGUCAAAGCAACCCUGAGAAAAAAGAUCAAAUCUGGAGGUGUAACACUCUUUAGUUUCAAAGUAUAUUACAAAGGUAUAGUAAUCAAAACAGCAUGGUAUUGGCAGAAACUCAGACAUAUGUGGGCAAUUAAUUUAUGAUAAAGUAGCAAAGAACAUACAGUGGAGAAACAAUACUCUUUUCAGUAAAUGAUGUUGGGGAAACUUGACAGUCACAUGCAAAGCAAAAAGAAAAAUGAAACUAGAUCGAUCACCUUGUUUCACCAUAAAGAAAAAUCACCUGAAAAUGGAUUGUAUGUAAGCUUUGAAUGUAAGAACUGGAACCAUAAAACUAGAAUAAAACAUAGGCAGUAUGCUCUUUGAAAUCAGUCGCAGCAUUAUCUUUCUGGAUAUGUCUCCUCAGGCAUGGGGACCAAAACAAAAACAAAUGAGACUACAUUAAACUAAAUAGUUUCUGCCUAUCAAAGGAAAUCAUCAACAAAACAAAAAGAGAACCUCCUGAAUGGGAGAAGAUAUUUGCAAAUCAUAUAUCCAAUAAGGGGUUAAUAUCCAAAAUAUAUAAAGAAUUCAUAGAACUCAAAAACAAAAGCAAACAACCUGAUUAAAAAGGGGGGCAGAGGAAAUGAAUAGACAUUUUCCAAAGAAGACAUACAGAUAGCCAACAGGCACAUGAAAAAAUAUUCAACAUCGGUAAUUAUUAGUGAAAUAAAUAUCUGGUAAAGAUAAAUACAUGGGAAAUUGUGUAAUGCCAAUUUUUAUUUUCUACAUGAUUGAAAAGAUAAAUGCAUUAGAAUUAUCAUUCUAUUUAUCGGGCACACAAUUUAUAACUAUGUAGUCUAUGUCAUCAAUGAUAGAAAGAGGGAAGGACAGAGCUCUACUGGAGCAGGGGUUUUGUAUGAUAUUGAAGUUAAGGUGGUAUACAUUCUUUUUUGUUUUUUAAUUGAAGUGUAACUGAUUUACAAUGUUGCGCCAAUCUCUGCUGUACAGCAAAGUGACUCAGUUAUACACAUAUAGACAUUCUUUUUUUAAAUAUUUUUUUCCAUUUUGUUUUAUCCUAGGACAUUGGAUAUAGUACCCCUUGCUAUACAGUAGGACCGUUUUGUUUAUCCAUUCUAAAUCAGACCUGUCCUUCAAUGAAUGCUAAAGAGAGUCCUUUAGUUUGAAAUAUAUGGAUACUAGACAGUAACUCAACUCGACAUGAAGAAAUAAAGAACAGCAGGAAACGUAACUAAAUAGGAUCAUCACUCAAACAAUGAGAUCCAACUAUCAGGAGAACUCGAGGAGUCAAGAUGGCAGAAUAGGAGGAUGUGGAAUUCACCUUUCCUCACAAGUACAUCAAGAAUACAAACAAUCUACGAAUGGAACAGUUCUCACAGAGCACUUGCUGAACACUAGUAGAAGACCUUGGAUACAUAAAAGGACAAGAAAAAUCCCCACACAACUGGGUAGGAUGAAAGAAAGAAAAUAAGAAAUGGAAAGGGACCAGCACUGCUGGCAGAGAGCUAAAAGUGAGGAGAGGUUCCCACGUGCAGAAAGCCCCCUCAAGGUGGGAAGAUUAGUUGGGGCAGAAAGAGGCCUUUGGGGGAUCAGAGUGGAAUGCAACAACCAGUCUGUGGAAGGCAGGACAAAGUAAGAACUGCAUGCAUGAUCCAUGCCACAGCCCUGCACACCUGAGUUGUGUGUCUCCUGGUGUGGAGAGGGGCUGGGUGCUGGAAAGUGGGAUUUGGAGAGUGGAUCCAGGGAGGGGACAGCUGUUGGCUGUGAAGAGACAGCCUGAAGGGACAGGAGUAAAGAGCUCCACAACCAGGAAAGUUUGUGGAAGAAACCCAGGACACUAUAGAAGCAAGGCGUCAUUGUUGAGUGGUGUGCAAGGGGUGGGACCGCCAUUGCAACCCCCUUUCUCACCCAUUGGCUCCUGCCUCCAUGGGCACUGGGAGGGGAACCCAUCUGAGCAGGCUCACCCACCCUUCAAGCCAAAGCUUCCUCCACCCAUGCAGGCUCUGGGGUCAUGAGCACCACCACCACCAAAGCCUCCUUUGGCUGCACAGGCCCCAGCGGGCCCACACGUGCCACCCAUGCCAAAGCCUCCUUGGGAAUCAGCCCUGGGUGCCCCAGCCUGAGAUGGGAAUCCGCCAAUGCUGGUGGGGGCUGAGUGCUAAGCAUGGGGUUAGGAGAGCGGAUUUGGGGAAAGGACCACUCUUGGCUGUGUGGAGACAGCCUAACGGGAUGGGAGUGAAGGGCUCCAGCAGCUGGGAAUGCUCCUAGAGGAAGGGUGGUCUGCCUUGGAAAGGAGGCACCAUUGUCGUGUGGUGUGCAAGGGGCGGAGCCACAGUCACAGACUCUCUUCUAACAUGCCAGCCCCUGCCUCCACGGGCACUGGGAGGGACUCCUGCCAGAGCAAGCACAGCCCAAUCUGUUGCAACUUCCUGCUGGUCUCUGCUGCUGCAGGCACUUCGCACAUGCCCCAGUUGCGACCGCCUUAUCCCUCCCCAGCCUAAGUAAGUGUGCCCCAAUCAGCCGCUGCUUUUGUCCCCUCUUGCCUGGGUGGGAGUCAGAGGCCUGAGGUUGCCCUACACACAGAGGUGGGGCCAAAACCAAAGCUGGGCCCCAGGGGAUGUGUGACAAAGGAAGAGGAAUGGAAAUCUCUCCAUGCAGCUGCACAAGCCAUGGAUUAAAUCCCUGCAAUCAACUUGGUAAACCCUGCAUGUGUGGACUAUCUGAAUGAACAAGGAGUGCUCCCACAACUGAGACCAGUCUAGCUUUAGCAGCUGUGGACUUUGGGGGCAAGUACAUGUGGGAGUUGGCCCCAGGAAAACUGUUGUUACUAUUAAAUUUUUUGUUACAUUUUGUUC